GCAUAAUGUUGGUUUGGGACCCUUGGUUACACAAUAUUGGUUCGGAGUCCUGGGUCGCAUAAUGUUAGCCUAGGAUCCUUCCAAGUGUCAACUAGUCAACUGAGGUUGACCUAGAUAUCUAGAUCCUCCAUCAAUCCUUAAGAUAUAUAUGUAGAAAGAUAAAAAGAGAAAAUAGAGAGAGAAAGAGUGAAGAAGAGAGAGAAAGAGAGAGCAAGAGAGAGGAAAAGAGAAAGCAAGAGGGAGAGAGAGGACCAUGGUUCUCUUCUCGAAAGAAAGGAAGAAUAUGAGUUCUAGGGCUAGCCAUUCCUAAGGUGGUGACCCC
RNAcentral lists this long non-coding RNA (322 nucleotides) under Elaeis guineensis (African oil palm). RNAcentral describes it as "long non-coding RNA (EGUI_LNC008980)". Lineage: Eukaryota; Viridiplantae; Streptophyta; Magnoliopsida; Arecales; Arecaceae. The record is from RNAcentral.